UUGACAGCACUGAAAAUAGAAGUUCUAUGUUAAAUCCAUAGAACAGGUACAGCUUGAGUAGCAGCAGUGGAAGAGUCUUCUCGUUCCACCACUGUACCUCAUUUGUGGCAAGGAGGGACUUGUGAGGGGGUGUGGAUAUUUCAGACACUGUGCUGAUUUAAUCCUUGCAAGUU
RNAcentral lists this small RNA (173 nucleotides) under Gopherus agassizii (Agassiz's desert tortoise). RNAcentral describes it as "TUC338 (ENSGAGG00000009917.1)". Lineage: Eukaryota; Metazoa; Chordata; Testudines; Testudinidae. The record is from RNAcentral.